UUUCCCCCCCCCUUUUUUCCCCCCUUUUUUUCCCCUUUUUAAGGGGGGGUUUUUGGGGGGGUUUAAAAACUUUUCCCCUUUUUUUUGGGGGAAAAAAUUUAAAAGGUUUUUUUUAAAAAAAAAGGAAAUU
This is a non-coding RNA of Pezoporus occidentalis (night parrot), 130 nucleotides long. RefSeq annotates it as small Cajal body-specific RNA 11. Lineage: Eukaryota; Metazoa; Chordata; Aves; Psittaciformes; Psittacidae. The record is from RefSeq and is a predicted model, not a curated record. The transcript has a single exon.